AGUAAAUAGAUACCCUGGUAGUCCACGCCGUAAACGAUGAGUACUAGGUGUAGGAGGUAUCGACUCCUUCUGUGCCGCAGUUAAACACAAUAAGUACUCCGCCUGGGAAGUACGGUCGCAAGAUUAAAACUCAAAGGAAUUGACGGGGCCCGCACAAGCAGCGGAGCAUGUGGUUUAAUUCGAAGCAACGCGAAGAACCUUACCUAGACUUGACAUCUCCUGAAUAGUGUAGAGAUACAUGAAGCCCUUCGGGGCAGGAAGACAGGUGGUGCAUGGUUGUCGUCAGCUCGUGUCGUGAGAUGUUGGGUUAAGUCCCGCAACGAGCGCAACCCUUAUUACUAGUUGCUACCAUUAAGUUGAGCACUCUAGUGAGACUGCCCGGGUU
This 385-nucleotide ribosomal RNA is filed under the name uncultured bacterium. RNAcentral describes it as "bacterial SSU rRNA". It matches the Rfam family "Bacterial small subunit ribosomal RNA", at positions 774 to 1159 of the family's 1533-position model. The record is from RNAcentral.